GGGGAGUGAAAUAGAACCUGAAACCGUGUGCUUACAAGUAGUCAGAGCCCGUUAAUGGGUGAUGGCGUGCCUUUUGUAGAAUGAACCGGCGAGUUACGAUUUGAUGCAAGGUUAAGCAGUAAAUGUGGAGCCGUAGCGAAAGCGAGUCUGAAUAGGGCGUUUAGUAUUUGGUCGUAGACCCGAAACCAGGUGAUCUACCCUUGGUCAGGUUGAAGUUCAGGUAACACUGAAUGGAGGACCGAACCGACUUACGUUGAAAAGUGAGCGGAUGAACUGAGGGUAGCGGAGAAAUUCCAAUCGAACCUGGAGAUAGCUGGUUCUCUCCGAAAUAGCUUUAGGGCUAGCCUCAAGUGAUGAUUAUUGGAGGUAGAGCACUGUUUGGACGAGGGGCCCCUCUCGGGUUACCGAAUUCAGACAAACUCCGAAUGCCAAUUAAUUUAACUUGGGAGUCAGAACAUGGGUGAUAAGGUCCGUGUUCGAAAGGGAAACAGCCCAGACCACCAGCUAAGGUCCCAAAAUAUAUGUUAAGUGGAAAAGGAUGUGGCGUUGCCCAGACAACUAGGAUGUUGGCUUAGAAGCAGCCAUCAUUUAAAGAGUGCGUAAUAGCUCACUAGUCGAGUGACACUGCGCCGAAAAUGUACCGGGGCUAAACAUAUUACCGAAGCUGUGGAUUGUCCUUUGGACAAUGGUAGGAGAGCGUUCUAAGGGCGUUGAAGCAUGAUCGUAAGGACAUGUGGAGCGCUUAGAAGUGAGAAUGCCGGUGUGAGUAGCGAAAGACGGGUGAGAAUCCCGUCCACCGAUUGACUAAGGUUUCCAGAGGAAGGCUCGUCCGCUCUGGGUUAGUCGGGUCCUAAGCUGAGGCCGACAGGCGUAGGCGAUGGAUAACAGGUUGAUAUUCCUGUACCACCUAUAAUCGUUUUAAUCGAUGGGGGGACGCAGUAGGAUAGGCGAAGCGUGCGAUUGGAUUGCACGUCUAAGCAGUAAGGCUGAGUAUUAGGCAAAUCCGGUACUCGUUAAGGCUGAGCUGUGAUGGGGAGAAGACAUUGAGUCUUCGAGUCGUUGAUUUCACACUGCCGAGAAAAGCCUCUAGAUAGAAAAUAGGUGCCCGUACCGCAAACCGACACAGGUAGUCAAGAUGAGAAUUCUAAGGUGAGCGAGCGAACUCUCGUUAAGGAACUCGGCAAAAUGACCCCGUAACUUCGGGAGAAGGGGUGCUCUUUAGGGUUAACGCCCAGAAGAGCCGCAGUGAAUAGGCCCAAGCGACUGUUUAUCAAAAACACAGGUCUCUGCUAAACCGUAAGGUGAUGUAUAGGGGCUGACGCCUGCCCGGUGCUGGAAGGUUAAGAGGAGUGGUUAGCUUCUGCGAAGCUACGAAUCGAAGCCCCAGUAAACGGCGGCCGUAACUAUAACGGUCCUAAGGUAGCGAAAUUCCUUGUCGGGUAAGUUCCGACCCGCACGAAAGGCGUAACGAUUUGGGCACUGUCUCAACGAGAGACUCGGUGAAAUCAUAGUACCUGUGAAGAUGCAGGUUACCCGCGACAGGACGGAAAGACCCCGUGGAGCUUUACUGUAGCCUGAUAUUGAAAUUCGGCACAGCUUGUACAGGAUAGGUAGGAGCCUUUGAAACGUGAGCGCUAGCUUACGUGGAGGCGCUGGUGGGAUACUACCCUAGCUGUGUUGGCUUUCUAACCCGCACCACUUAUCGUGGUGGGAGACAGUGUCAGGCGGGCAGUUUGACUGGGGCGGUCGCCUCCUAAAAGGUAACGGAGGCGCUCAAAGGUUCCCUCAGAAUGGUUGGAAAUCAUUCAUAGAGUGUAAAGGCAUAAGGGAGCUUGACUGCGAGACCUACAAGUCGAGCAGGGUCGAAAGACGGACUUAGUGAUCCGGUGGUUCCGCAUGGAAGGGCCAUCGCUCAACGGAUAAAAGCUACCCCGGGGAUAACAGGCUUAUCUCCCCCAAGAGUUCACAUCGACGGGGAGGUUUGGCACCUCGAUGUCGGCUCAUCGCAUCCUGGGGCUGUAGUCGGUCCCAAGGGUUGGGCUGUUCGCCCAUUAAAGCGGUACGCGAGCUGGGUUCAGAACGUCGUGAGACAGUUCGGUCCCUAUCCGUCGUGGGCGUAGGAAAUUUGAGAGGAGCUGUCCUUAGUACGAGAGGACCGGGAUGGACAUACCUCUGGUGUACCAGUUGUCGUGCCAACGGCAUAGCUGGGUAGCUAUGUGUGGACGGGAUAAGUGCUGAAAGCAUCUAAGCAUGAAGCCCCCCUCAAGAUGAGAUUUCCCAACUUCGGUUAUAAGAUCCCUCAAAGAUGAUGAGGUUAAUAGGUUCGAGGUGGAAGCAUGGUGACAUGUGGAGCUGACGAAUACUAAUCGAUCGAAGACUUAAUCAA
RNAcentral lists this ribosomal RNA (2386 nucleotides) under Staphylococcus aureus F32119. Its description in RNAcentral is "bacterial LSU rRNA". It matches the Rfam family "Bacterial large subunit ribosomal RNA", at positions 533 to 2925 of the family's 2925-position model. Lineage: Bacteria; Bacillati; Bacillota; Bacilli; Caryophanales; Staphylococcaceae. The record is from RNAcentral.